UACGUAGGGUGCGAGCGUUGUCCGGAAUUAUUGGGCGGAAAGAGCUCGUAGGCGGUUUGUUGCGUCGGCUGUGAAAUCCCGAGGCUCAACCUCGGGUCUGCAGUCGAUACGAGCAAACUAGAGUGUUGCAGGGGAGACUGGAAUUCCUGGUGUAGCGGUGAAAUGCGCAGAUAUCAGGAGGAACGCCGGUGGCGAAAGCGGCGUGCUGGACCUCUUCUGACGCUGAGUCGCGAAAG
This 236-nucleotide ribosomal RNA is filed under the name uncultured bacterium. Its description in RNAcentral is "partial 16S ribosomal RNA". It matches the Rfam family "Bacterial small subunit ribosomal RNA", at positions 524 to 759 of the family's 1533-position model. The record is from RNAcentral.